UUGGUAGAUGCUUUUUCAGGAUGGCCUGAAGCUUUCCUGUGCUGGACCAACCGAGCUAGAAAGGUAAUGAAGAAAUUAUUAAAUGAGAUUAUACCAAGAUUUGGAGUUCCAAGUGAGGCCUUAUUGGACAGAGGCUCACAUUUUAUUUCUAGGGCUGAAACAAAAGCCUCUGGACCCUGACCUUUUUGACCUGGUGUUGCUUUCAUGUGUCAAGGGCUGGAUUUUCUGCGUGAAGCCUCCCAGCUGAUCUCAAAGGGAGGUUGCCAAAACGCAGGGACUGGGGCUUUGUGGACAACAUACACACCUUUCAGACCCCAUCAAAACUAUCCAGAUUCUGCAAAAACUCCCACAUUUAACUUACAUCAAAUAAUCCGUGCACAUAACUGCCUGUGUUGCCAGAAAUCCCGCAGGACCACAAAGCUCACUUUGCCAGGGGCCAUCAGGAUCCACCCCAACCCCGGAAAACCCCACUGCUCACCUCAUAGCUGUGGGCUGAUCCAACAAAAACCUUCCCAAUGUCCAGCUGGUCAAAGCUGAAGCGCAGCUGGGGCCCUAUGCCGCUCCCUUUGAUGCGCAGGGGCAGCCUGGUCUCACGGCCUGGGGAGAGGUUGCCAUGUCAGUACCAGAAUUCCUUCAGUUCGCCUGGAUUUUCCAGGCAGCCUCAGAGCCAGACGCUGACUCCGGGCUGGGUGGCACCAGCACUAGGUGCUCCGCGAGAAGAUACAGGACCCCUCUCUUCCCUCAGCAGAUAAACUUUGGGGCUGGUUUCUAACUUCUGACGGAGCCCUUGGGCUGGUUUGUAGCUUAGCAAUCACUUUGCACCCUGAGAAAGUGAUGCUGCGAAUAAAAUGUGAUUUCGGAAUUCCUUCCCGUGCACUUAGACAAGCUUUGAAAUCUGUUCAGUGAAGGCACAAAUCUCACAGAACAGAACCGGAGAUAAAAAUCUGCUGUCUGUAUCGCUGCCAUCAGAGACGACCGCACAGGAGCUGAGAAGGAAGAGCCCAAGCAAGGCCCAGCAGCCAGCUGACAGUGAUACCCAAGCAGCCUGCUGGCAGCGAUGUGUGCACCCGAGCGCUGCCUCAAGCAGGCAGAGCAUCUCAGCCACCACCUGCACCUAACGUAGGGCUCCGUACCGGGGUGCUCCAGGGCUCACCGCCUGCAGCAGCGCUUUGUUAAGACAGGGCUUUACGGUCUCCAGAGAGCUGCACUCACCUGUUCCCACCAUCAAACCAAGAGCUCAGCUUUGUAAAGAUGCCUCACCUGAAGGAUGCUGAGCAGUUACGGAAAAGCAGCCUCCUCACUACUGAAACCAGAUAAGCUCUAAGUGUACUGCUAACACACAUAUCCCUUGCUGCAAAGGCAACUGAGACCACAAGGCUUACAGCGGAACUCCAAGAUGCUGAUUUUCUUCCUUAAGUCUGCUAAGAUGGCAUAGUGCAGGAUCUUUCAGUCUGAAGGCUCUCUUGAACCAUUGGAGCAGCCUAAAGUGCCUGAAUUCUAGCUCAGAUUUUGGCUUAGGUCACUCUGCCAUCCCAUUCUACUCUUGUACGGAAAGCGAGUAGCACAAGGAGCGGAAGAAAGCCCCAGAAGUUGUACACAACCGUCACUGUGGCUUUUGUGCAAAACUAUUCCUCUCUCCUUCGAGCUCCAUUUGUGUGACACCCACCAUUAACUAAAGCUUAGGGAUUGAAAGUUAUUUUCUUUUCUUAUAAAAGUCUGCUGCUUAGUCAUUCCAGAAUGUCCAAUCCAACUUCUUAUUGCAAAGAGCAGCCCACGUGUGAGUAGAUCUCAACUCGGAAAAAACCCUCCUGGAACAGCCUUUUCAACGAUCGCUGACUUUGGUCCUGCAGCCAUGGCAUGGGGAUGUUUGAUCAUGUCCAAAGCCAGAAAGGAAGAGCUAGGGAGCUUUUGCUGAAUUCAGUGGGUUUUAAGUGGAUCCAGCCAAAGCCCAGCUGACAGCAGAGAUGAGUUACACUUCACAGCUCAGGCACGCAUCAGAGGGCUGUGUACUUCUGUUGCACAGACACCCGAAAAGAGGCAGUACUGAGUGCUCACUGUUCAGAAGAUUUUUCCAUCUUGCAUCACAUGUGGCUUAAUUUUCAUUAAAAACUUGACAUUCUAAACCAUCAGAGCUCUUAGGAAAUGAAAAAGAUUUCCAAGGGACAAGUUUUCUCCAUAAUCAGGGGUGAGGCACGUCCCAUGGCCACUAUCAUCAAAAAAAUAUCAAUGGCAGUUCUUUCCCUUCUGCAGCAGGCCCUCAGCCUCUCCUGGAAGGUCUGCGGAAGCUAUCCUUUCUUCUACCCUACAUUGAUGCUGGAACUUUAGGAAACCCUGGGAGUUUUGCGCUCUCUCCUUCCAGGUGAGCCUCAGAGAGUGCUCUCCUGAAAUGAGGAGGAGCAGAGUAAAAUACAGACCAUUCAGGACAGCUGAGAGAAAAAGAAAGAAAAAAGAGAGUAUGUCCUGCUCCUCGCUAGCAGCUGGGGCUUCCAGGAGCACCCAGCCGCUGCCCAAGGCUUGGGUACCCCGGGCUGGGACCGUGUGAUGCUCCCACCACAGCAUGUCCCAGAGCACAUGGACCAGGGCAUGGAGGGGCCGCAGCCUCCUUGUCCUCAGUCCCAAAGCCACACCUGGUUCUGUGGAGUGAGAAUUCGGAUCUCAGUCGGGUUAACACCUUGGCACAUCAUGGAGGGAUUACAACUUGGCAUUCAAAGAAAUAGGGGUGUGGGUGGCCCAACAGCACAGAACUGUUUCCCAAGUCCCUAACUUCUGCUGCUUUCUGGCACUCAUUUUUUUUGCCCACAGAAUGUCCCCAGGUUUUGAGGUUGGUUUUGAAUGUGAUUCUCAUCCAACUACAUCAACACAGAGAUCCAGUUUUACACGAUGUAGGACAUGGCAAGGUGAAGGAGUGAUCAGCAUUUAGGAUUUUGCUUCUCCUUGCAAAAGUGGCUUAGAAAUGGGUUUUGGAAGAAAUCGGAUGUAACCCAGUACAUUUCCAUAUCCAGAAAAAAACAACAUAAAAAGAAUUUUAGGUGAUUGAGCCCCCCCACCAUGUGCUUCCUUCCAGCACUCAAAAGCCAUGGCUUUAUUUGCAUGAAUAACUAAGAAAGUUCAUUUUGAGCUUAAACAGAACAAAUUUCAAACCACUUCUUAACUGCUGGCUUUGCAAGUUGCACAGUGCUGAUGAGUUCUGUAAAUCACCUGAUCCAGAAGCAUUCUGCUAAGCAAUUUAUGGAGGCAACUGCAAAAAAAUGUGGAGGCCAGCCACUUCCCCGUGGGGCACGAGAUCCAACUGCACAAUUCACAGUGCUGCAUUAGGGCAAAAUUUCUAAAUAUUCUCUGCAAGGAGCACAGUGUCUGCAAAUUGUCCUCCAAAGGGAUCUGUGACUGGCAUGCAAAUGCACGAGGAAGUUAUUAACUUUUUGAGGCUUGUAAAUUUUCUUCUGCAUUCACACAAAGACAGCUGGCUGAAUUAAAGGGUAUCAUAGUAUUAAGGAAAAAGAAAAGCUAGGAGGCAUCACACUUGUUAGGACCAAAGAUUUUGCUUUGUUUUAAUAAGCAAUGGGGAAGAACAAUUUACUCUUCAAAUAACUGCACAGUUGAUGUCAGGGUCUCCAAAACGCAGGCAUUUGAAAUACUGUCUUCAUUUAGAAAAGAAGUAGAGGAGCAGUUGAGGGUUUGGAAGUGAGAUGUAAACUAAACAAAGCGAGAAAACGAAAUGGGUUCCCAACAUGGAUAUAAAAAGGGAGACAGCAACCCAGGGUUGUGCGUUGAGGUCUGUGCUACCAAAACCAAAAUGAAAUCAUUAUUCUCCCCUACAGUGUGGGACUGCAUUGCUCAGAAGAAGGCAGGGGAAACACGGACAAAAGGAGCCACCUUGAUUUUCCUUCUUUCUCAGCAGGAAACAAAUACGAAGCCUGUUCUGGCUCAAGAAGACUGAGCUGCCUAUUUGGGACUUCAUCAGGUUGCAGUGGCUACUUUCUGCUGUUUGGGCAUCAAUUUGGCGAGCCAGCCAGGAGAACUCUCCACCAGUGCUGGAAUCCAGGGGCCUGGGGACCCUCAGGGCCCCUGACUGCAUCUUCUGUCGGCAAGACUCCCCUGCCUCUCGGCUUCUCACACAGGUGGACAAGGACUUCUGUACAACAGAAAAGGUAUCUUAAUAUUCCAACAUACUGCGCCGUCAAGAUCAACAAAGCAGUUUCCUACCACUUGGCCACCGAGCAACAG
This is a long non-coding RNA of Falco peregrinus (peregrine falcon), 4224 nucleotides long. RefSeq lists it as uncharacterized. NCBI's taxonomy places the organism in Eukaryota, Metazoa, Chordata, Aves, Falconiformes, Falconidae. The record is from RefSeq and is a predicted model, not a curated record. The transcript is spliced from 3 exons.